This 250-nucleotide ribosomal RNA is filed under the name uncultured bacterium. RNAcentral's name for it is "partial 16S ribosomal RNA". It matches the Rfam family "Bacterial small subunit ribosomal RNA", at positions 505 to 754 of the family's 1533-position model. The record is from RNAcentral.
GUGCCAGCAGCCGCGGUAAUACGUAGGGUGCGAGCGUUAAUCGGAAUUACUGGGCGUAAAGCGUGCGCAGGCGGUUUUGUAAGACAGGCGUGAAAUCCCCGAGCUCAACUUGGGAAUGGCGCUUGUGACUGCAAGGCUAGAGUAUGUCAGAGGGGGGUAGAAUUCCACGUGUAGCAGUGAAAUGCGUAGAGAUGUGGAGGAAUACCGAUGGCGAAGGCAGCCCCCUGGGACGUCACUGACGCUCAUGCAC